Molecule: long non-coding RNA, 484 nt
Filed under: Equus caballus (horse)
Lineage: Eukaryota; Metazoa; Chordata; Mammalia; Perissodactyla; Equidae
Description: lncRNA (ENSECAG00000055105.1)
Source: RNAcentral
GGAGCUCCCGCUCGCGCGCACCGUGCUGCCAGCCCGCGAGUCCGCCGCCGUGCCAGCGCCUCGGAAACGCGGUGCACCAUGUCUUCACCUCCCGAGGGGAAGCUGGAGACCAAAGCCGGACACCCGCCCGCCGGAUAAAGAGGACAACUUUGGCCAUUUGAAAAACUGGCCAAACCAUUUGGAGCGUCAUUGCCAACUCCCCUGAGCCAGCGACUGCAGGGGAAUCCACCAGAAGGACCUCUGCCUCUUGGAACCUCAUCAGCUCUUCUCGACAGGGGGCUCCAUCACCUGCCAGGUGCCUCCCUCCAAGGCGGUCAGAGGUUGGCUAAGUAUGCCCCCAGUGUCCUCCACCCAGUCACUGACCAAGGCUUGAGAGGACAGGCAAGAAGACUGCUUUUACUCCCAACAUCCAAGAAAAAAGACCCUUUGAGUCACCGCAUGUUUUCAAAAGCUUGCAGUCAGGGUGGACCGCAGCAUUUCUAAG